Molecule: ribosomal RNA, 583 nt
Filed under: Staphylococcus sp. HMSC056D08
Lineage: Bacteria; Bacillati; Bacillota; Bacilli; Caryophanales; Staphylococcaceae
Description: bacterial SSU rRNA
Rfam family: Bacterial small subunit ribosomal RNA
Source: RNAcentral
GAGUAACACGUGGGUAACCUACCUAUAAGACUGGGAUAACUCCGGGAAACCGGGGCUAAUACCGGAUAACACAUGAAACCGCAUGGUUUCAUGAUGAAAGACGGUUUUGCUGUCACUUAUAGAUGGACCCGCGGCGUAUUAGCUAGUUGGUAAGGUAACGGCUUACCAAGGCAACGAUACGUAGCCGACCUGAGAGGGUGAUCGGCCACACUGGAACUGAGACACGGUCCAGACUCCUACGGGAGGCAGCAGUAGGGAAUCUUCCGCAAUGGGCGAAAGCCUGACGGAGCAACGCCGCGUGAGUGAUGAAGGUCUUCGGAUCGUAAAACUCUGUUAUUAGGGAAGAACAAGGAUGUAAGUAACUAUGCAUCCCUUGACGGUACCUAAUCAGAAAGCCACGGCUAACUACGUGCCAGCAGCCGCGGUAAUACGUAGGUGGCAAGCGUUAUCCGGAAUUAUUGGGCGUAAAGCGCGCGUAGGCGGUUUUUUAAGUCUGAUGUGAAAGCCCACGGCUCAACCGUGGAGGGUCAUUGGAAACUGGAAAACUUGAGUGCAGAAGAGGAAAGUGGAAUUCCAUGUGUAG